This 164-nucleotide ribosomal RNA is filed under the name uncultured bacterium. RNAcentral describes it as "partial 16S ribosomal RNA". It matches the Rfam family "Bacterial small subunit ribosomal RNA", at positions 340 to 524 of the family's 1533-position model. The record is from RNAcentral.
UACGGGAGGCAGCAGUGGGGAUCUUGGACAAUGGGGGCAACCCUGAUCCAGCCAUGCCCUGAGUGAUGAAGGCCUUAGGGUCGUAAAGCUCUUUCGCCAGGGAUGAUAAUGACAGUACCUGGUGAAGAAACCCCGGCUAACUCCGUGCCAGCAGCCGCGGUAAU